AAGCCAGUUGUACAGGAACUGCCAAAGGCAACAGAAAUUCUUUCUCCCUAUGUCCCAGCCUACCCCCACUUUACCGAGGCCAACAGCCGCCUCAGAAACCAGAUUCAGGAGCUAACAUGCCCCAGGUCUCACGAGGAUCAGAGACUCCAGAGGCCAGGGAAGGAGAUCAAGGUAGUCAAGCGGGGGUCGUCUCAGAUCUGGUUGUGCUCGAGCUAUGCAAAUGCCUCUCACGGAGAUGCGAGGACCUAUCUAUUAUGAUGACCAGGGCCACAUCCGGAGGGGGCAACAGACUUUCAUCUAUCAGCCCUUUUCAACCACUGAUCUACUAAACUGGAAACACUCUGAACCCUGCCAUCUUGCUCCUGGUAUCAGAGAGCCCUGUCGUGCAUAACUGUGUAGAAGUGUUGGACUCGGUUUACUCCAGCAGACCUGAUCUCCGGGACCAGCCUUGGGCAUCAGUAGACUGGAAGCUAUAUGUGGACAGGAGCAGCUUCAUCAACCCACAAGGAGAGAGAUGUGCGGGAUAUGUGGUGGAACCCUGGACACUGUCGUUGAAGCCAGAUCGUUGCUCCAAGGCACUUCAGCCCAGAAAGAUGAGCUCAUUGCUUUAAUUUGGGCCUUAGAACUCAGUUAAGGCCUUCUACGGUCCCAGGCUUUCUGCUGCAUACACUGAAGGGCCACGAAGUACAGUCAUCUGGACUUGGCACCUGGAAUACAAGGAUGGAAAGCAUCAUUUCUGCCAGCUUCUUAUGGUCCUGAGGCGAGACAGUCAUGAGAGAGGAAAACUGCAAUGACUUCUGACCACUGCCAGCCUCGCUUCCUGCAUUUUCUUCUUCGGCUUACUCUUGCCAAGUUGGAGUUGCCUAACUUCCAAGAGGGUAUUUGCUCUUUUUUUUUUCUCACUCCACAAACUCUUCCCAGGUAGUUCAGUCCACUCCCAUCUACCAGUCACUAUACGCCGAUGAAUGCCAAUAUUAUUAUUUCCAGCUUAGACAUUGUUCUUGGAUUGCAGAUGUGAGGUUUGACUUGUUUACUAGACAUUGCUGGCUGAGGAUCCCUAGCAUAACAUGGCCCAAAUUCAAUUUAUUUCCAAAGCUGUCUCAUCUCCUUUGUUCUCUGUAAUGAUGUUGCUAUCCAUUCGAUCAACAUACUCAGAAAUAUCACCCCCUCCUUCCUUCUUCCAAGAUAAGUGAGUUGCUCACGACAUGAUCAUGUUUUGGCAGUGUACUCUGUCCAUUCCCAUCACUUAGUAAGAAUCAUCUAGGUUAUGCUGAAGUAUGAAGUUAAUCUCCAAAUUUCUCUGGCUCAGUACAGAAAAAGUCCAUUUCUCCCUUCUGCAAUGCACCCAAUGCAGGUCUGCAGGGUCUCUGCUGUGCGUUGUCCCUCAGGGACUCAGGCUGAAGAGGCCCCCUUGUCUUAUCUGGCCACCUCCUCUGCACAUGGCUCAGGAUUUUCCAGGCAAGGGGUUGAGCAGAGGCUUUUCAGUGCUGGGCCUGGAUGUGACAUAAGAUGCUUCUGCUCACAGCCUUGUGGUCAGAACAAGUCACAUCAUCCCUCCUACUUGCAGGGGUGCUGGGCAGCGUAGUCAUCCACAGAUCAGGAGAGGGAGCAGAGGCAGGUGUUCCCGGGCUGCAGCGAUCUCCACUGCACUGCUGUGGGCUGAACUGUGCCCUCCACCCCACCAAGCUUAUAUGCUGCCAGCCUCACCCUCCACACCUUAGAAUGUGGCUGUAUCUCGACAUAGGGUCCUUACAGAGGUAGUUAAGUUAAAGCAGGGUCAUUAGGGUGGGCCCUAAGGUACUCUGACUGGUGUUUUUAUGAGAAGAGGAGAUUAGGACUUACAGGGAGAGACACUAGGUAUGUGAGCACACAGAGAAAAGACCAUGUGAAGACGAGAAGAAGGCAACUGUCUCCAAUCCAGACGGAGAUGCCAGGCACAGCCCUUCUGUCACAACCCUCAGAAGGAACCAACCCUGCCGACACCUUGGCCUUGUACUUCUGGCCUCCAGAACCGCAGGAAAGUACAUUUCUGUUGCUUAGGCCGCUCAGCCUGUGGCACUUUGUUACAGCUUCUCACCCAGUUCAGGCCCUUUUAAUUGAUUGCUGGGCCUUUGCAGUUGUUUUUGCUUCUAAUAUAUUCAUCUCUCAAUUUAUUUCUGGAGGCUGCCACCCGAGGGGCAGAACUUCAAUUGUGUCCCUAAUGGGAAACCUUGCUGGGAUCAUGUGGUCUACAGCACAAGGUUGCUAAAGCAUCUUCUGCCAGAAUUCUGUGAGUAUCUGGUUAGGUGGGUCUGGAAUAUACUGAGUUUAAAAAAGUUAAAUAGGUUUCUUUACUGCAAGAUGUUUCAGAGACUUUAAUAUGCUACUCUGCUGUAUGAAUCUCCAGGCAGGAAAUCUUAUAAAAUGUGUUUCUGAAAUGAAUUUGCACAUAAGACCCUGUUUUCUUGGAGCCUCUGAUAGUGGGUGAAUGCCCAAUCUCUAGUGGGACUUGCAAGACUUUGCAAUUGGGCAGACAUAUUUCUUUUCACCUUAUCUCCCUCUGUCUCUAUGGAGAUACUCCCAUCGCAUCAAAGUUCUUCUUAUUACUUACACAUGGGGUGGCAGCUGUGACAUGCACCCAUCACAUCUCCCUCCAAGAGACCCUACAGGGGAGCACAGUUGGCUGGCAGCUCCCGGUGUCUGCGCCUCCAGGCCCACUGCUCCCUUGGGCGGCUCCCAGUCAGUGGCAAGGUAGCGGGGUUCUGGAGGAGGCCCAUUUCUACCUGCAGUGGGGAAGCUGGGCUCCUCUAAGAGGCAAACUUCUCAGAGACUCCACUGUGGCUCUGCUGAGGCUGAGAACUGUGCUUUUGGUCUGAGCGCAUUCUCCCCAUUCUCCUUCCUGCCCCCGCUCCUUGCGCCGGCCUUAGACCAGCUAGCUGUCUGCAGGCUUUCCCUGCCCACGGCUGCCCCUCCUUUCCCCUUCACAGCCGUUUCCGCCCACAUGCGCCGUGCAUGGUUAAUCGCACCGUGCCAUCCACUUCUCUGAGGACCUGAGUUAGCACACAAAGUAUGUUCGUUCCCUGUGUCCUCACCUCUCCCUGAUGUAUCUUCUCCCUUCCUCUGCUGGCUGUCUGUUGGGAAUCUUGGGAAAGGAAUUUGUGAGUAAUGUUCCAGGCAGCCUAGCUUUUAGGGUGAAUGACUGGUUCUGACUUAUGUCAAUACAUCCUUGAGUCAUGCCAAGAACUGUGGGAUGAUCAAGGACCACGGACCAGUGUCCUGGAAGCAUCGAUGGCUCCAAGCUGCUGGCACCACUGUCCUUGGAAUUACCGAGUGUGAUUUUUAGAGUUACGGGCACAUUUCUCAGGCCCCAUAAAUGUGAUGGAUGGUGAAUUACAGGACUUUUGAGUAUAUAGUGAGUGGACUACAAUUGUGCUGUAUGUAGCCCACUGCUUUGUGCGUGAGGCGAUUUUAGGCCAUUGAAGGAGUUCAGCUGUCCUCCAUAUGAGUCAUUUCCUAGACAGUGUACUCUGCAAAAGCCCAAAUAACUUCACAAAUGUAACAGUUUAAGCUCUUAUCAGCCAUGUAUACCACACUGAGAUGAGUAUAUCAUAUUUCACAUAAUAUAAAAUAGAAGUAACAUCAUACAUUUCACUCUUAUUUCUCCUUCUGGAAGCCACCAUGCCCUAACUCAUUCUCUUUCUAAAUUUCAAAACAUCCAAACAUUUCCCAGCUUAUUUUAUUUGCAACACAAACUAGCAUUUUUCUUUUUAUUCAUAAGCUAAAAACUUUAUCACUGAAAUCAUUUUAUACUGCCACGUAUCAUUCUUCACUCUCUCAAUACAGUGCUCUUCUCAUUGGUUAGUCAAUAGUUUAUAAGAGUUCCAUAUUUUUAUCUUUGGUUGAGAUGUAUUAAUUGAUUAGAGAUACUUUUACAAUUGUAAUUAAAAAGUUUAAUCAUUAAAUUUAAUGAGACAGGUAUACGGAGGUUCAGAAGAAAUGUAAGGAAGUGAGACAAGAAGAGAAAGGGAGGUUACGAAAAGUGAGAUUAGGAAAAUAAACGGAAGACCACGUUGAUACUGACUGGAAAACGUGGAAGGUUUACUAAUUAAUCAGUGCUAACAUGACCACAAAGCAUAUGUUACUAUUUUUACUAUUGGAACCCACCGUUAAGUAGUCAAAGUUGCAGGAUAAAGUGUCUGAAAACAUAUAAAACAGAUAAAAUGAUGAAAGUGUAAACAGGUACAUCUUUUCUGAAGGCAGUUUGGUGUGCACUAAAGUGCAGAAUAUACCUUGCAAUUCUACUCCCAUGAAUAUAACAGAAAGUAAUUACUGAGUUGGGAGCGGUGGCCCAUGCCUGUAACCCCAGCACUUUGGGAGGCCUAGGUGUUGGAUCAUUUGAGGUCAGGAGUUUGAGACCAGCCUAGCCAACAUGGUGAAACCCCCUCUCUCCUAAAACUACAAAAAUUAGCCGGGCAUGGUAUUGCAUGCCUGUAAUCCCAGCUACUAGAGAGGCUGAGGCAUGAGAAUCGCUUGAACCCGGGAGGCAGAAGUUGCAGUAAGCUGAGAGAUCGCACCACUGCACUCCCGCCUGGGUGACAGAGUGAGACUCUGUCUCAAAAAAAAAAAAAAAAAAGUGCAAGGAUGUUUAUUACAGUAUAGUAAAUCGCAAGCAGGAAAAUCCUAAAUGUAUUAUGUUGGUACUAAAGUAAUUGUGGUCUUUGCCGUUAAAAGUAGUAAAUCCAUGGAGAAUGGGUUAAAUAAAUGAUAGUUUAUGUAUACACACAAAUACCAUGUGGCUGGUAAAAAUGAUGGUGUAAAUUAUAUUUACAGACUGAUAAACGUAAAAAGUAUCUGGGACAUAGCAUUAUUGAAAAGAAAGCAGGCUAGUGAAUACUAUAAUUAUUUUGUAAAAGUCUCUUAUGGACAUAAGUUAUAUAUUUACAUGGCCAUAUUUUGCACAGGAAAUAUGAAAAAGUAUAUAUAUCAAACAGUAAUGGCUUAUUUUUAUCUUCUGGGAGUUUUGCAGGUGCUUCCCUCUUUACACCAUUAUAUGUCAUCUGAAGUUUUGUUCUGAUUCUGUAUUAUUUCAUUUCUAAAAGAAAAGCCCCAAAACCAAGUGCUGUUUUCCUGGUCUGUGGAAACAGAGUCUCCGAGGAAUUAGGCUAGACAUGGCACAGUCUGUGACAGAUGAGAACAGGUUCAAAUUGGCUCCAGGCUGAAGUUUCCACAGAGCUGAGAAGAAUGAUCUGCAUAAUCAGUCUCUCACCAGGGAGCUCCUGGAGCUCAGACAGGCCCUCAGCGAGGCACGCAUGUUCCUGUAAGGACAUGGGGAUCUGGGCAGUGCUGCACUGAAUAACGUAGCAUAAGACAUCAAGACUCAAUGUGUUAAUAAUAGGAAUGAAAGAACAGGGAGCUCCAUGGACCUGCUGCUUCCCCUAAAACCCCGUGACACUUUUGUUUCUGAUAUCUGUGCUAAACUUUAGGAAAAUUUUACUUUAAAAUCUUGUGACAGAGAAUUCUGUCAUUUUUUGACUUUUAGAGAAUUUUUAGAGAAGUUUUCAAUUUUUAGAGAAUUCUGUCAAGUGUUUUCCAGGUGUGGGAAGCCCCAAAGCCAUGGUGACAUUAGCUUAUCUGCAGCAUGUGUUCCCAUCCUGACCAAGCAUUGGUGUUGACAGGAUUUAGGGCAACAAUUCCCCUGUGGCUCCAUCGAGAUGAGUUGGGCUGCUUCAAAUCAAUAUGUAGCAGAUAGAGUUUCCCAAUUUUGCAUGCUGUCAAUAAUGAGGAUCUGCUGAUUUCUGUUUCUCUACUCCCCAGAAUUGUUACCAUUUUUUGUCAAUGACAGUUUCAAAGCUUGGCCACCCCUUUGGAGGUGCUCCAGGUUGAUUGUCCCUGGAAGGAGGUGCUCCAGAUUAUGACAAUGGAGCAAGAACUGCUGAAAUGGAGGGGUAGAUUCCAAUCAUCCAAUACAGCUCCGUGUCCUGAGAGAUAAUUGUCUAAGGUGUUGUGGAAUAGUGACAUCAUGGAGUAAAAUCGAGAGUGGAGGUGUUACACACAGUGGACAGUUCCAUGCAGAGCCAGAGUGCUGAAGGCUGAUGAAGCAAAUUCACUCAUGUAAAUUCCCUCAAAAUACAUUUAUUGAGCACAUCCUUGGCACUGUUCUACAGGUUGGAGGUGUGGAGAUAAAGUCCCUGUUUUCAUGGAUCUCACGAUGGAUAGUGUGAGAAUUACGUGAAGAAGCUUAAGUCAAAAGGCAGAGAGCCACCCCUUUGGAGGUGCUCCAGGUUGAUGGCUGUCCCCGGAAAGGAGGUGCUCCCAACCACAAAAAUGGGGCAGGAACUGUAGGGUGCUGGAGCUUAUGCAGUAAAGUGCUGUUAAGUUUGGGUGUUUCAUUGGCUUGUAGGGAUGUUGAAACUUUCCUGACCCAACCAGCCUUGUCUUGACUUGCUUCAGAGUAAAAAUGUGGCAGCAGGCAUGAAGCAGCAUUUCUGGUGCUGAGCUUUACUGGCAGUCCUAGCCAUAGCUGAGUUGUCAAAAGCCAGUUACGCAAAUGGCAUUGACCUUCCUAGCUGUCUUCUCAUGCAGCAUGUCCUGGUAAAGCUGUCGAGUGGCAAAUGAGAAUCCUUUUCUGGUCUCAGUGAUGGAGAUGUUUUCAUUUUCACCCACACCCUUAAUUUUUACUGAUAAUAAAACUCACAGACGUCCUGGUCCCUAGUGAAGCCAGACUACUAAGGCUUAAGAAUGAAGAUGAUCCGCUUGUACCCACACCCAUGAGCCAGUUAGAAGAGUAUGAUCUACACAGAGACCAUUGUGAAACCAGGCAGUGUGUGACAAUUGCCUGAAAUGGGGACAUGGCAUCAAAAAGUAUUUUAGGAGUUGAUGGGGGAAAAAAAUCUCUUCUGGAUACGGGAGAGGCUGACACCUGAAACUGGAUAUGUCCCAGGUAUCUCAAGUUCCAUAUGACCGAAAGUGACACUACUAACAUUCCUUCAGAAGUGUCACCCUCUGUUACAAUCACCUUGGACAAGCUGCAUUUGUUCCCUAAACCUCCAGCUUCCAAACUUAAAAAUAGGGGCACUAUCUCAAAGGAUUGUUGUGAGAAUUCUUUCAACACAUAUUUGUGGACCCACCAACAACACCUUUGUUUCUAUUCUAGGCACAGGGUAUAAAAAAUUGAAAAAAGAGAAAAAAUCCCUGAUUUCAUAGAUCUUUAGAUCACAAAUCAUCCCAUGAGAUGAUUUAUAAGCUGUGAAUUUCAACACAAAUGUUCACUUGUAGGUAUUCAGCAGCAUUUGGUGACCCCAGUGGGACACUGCUGUGGCAUCUGUCCUAUCUGGGUGCCUGGGAGGGUCAUCAGCUGCCCACACAUCAACAAACUGAGGAAGUGCAGUGCGUUACAGUGUAGUUACCAUGGUAACAGCACCAACACCUGCAGCUUGGGUGACUUUUGAUUUGAGGUUUGAAUUGAAAGCCACUGCAGCUUGUCCUUGGCUAUUAUAUCUUGACACAUACUCCCAUUCCUCCUAAUUGGAAGACAGGAGCCUCUUCUUGUGCUGGGUUCUACAGCUUUGGAAGAUAAUGUCUCCUUCUGAUGCCUCUCUCACACUCACCCUGACAUCAAGGAACCCUCCAAAUUCUUUAGAACAAAAUGCAGAAAACCCCAUCUGGCUGUUUUGUGUCCUGUAGUGAUAGACAAGCAGAUAGAAAUUUCAGUUUAUUGACAGAGGCAUCAUGUCUUCUUAUUUAGAUUCUAAAAUCCACACAUUAAGUUAGCCAAAAUCAAAGUUGAAGGCCAUUUGUUACCUCUGUGUAACUUAGUCUGCAUGC
Molecule: long non-coding RNA, 7803 nt
Filed under: Homo sapiens (human)
Lineage: Eukaryota; Metazoa; Chordata; Mammalia; Primates; Hominidae
Description: non-protein coding lnc-OPRK1-3:11
Source: RNAcentral